Molecule: ribosomal RNA, 207 nt
Filed under: uncultured bacterium
Lineage: Bacteria
Description: partial 16S ribosomal RNA
Rfam family: Bacterial small subunit ribosomal RNA
Source: RNAcentral
CAUGCAGGCGGUUAUACAAGUAGGAUGUGAAAGCCUGGGGCUCAACCUCAGAACUGCAUUCUAAACUGUGUGACUAGAGUAUUGCAGGGGGAGACGGAAUUUCAGGUGUAGCGGUGGAAUGCGUAGAUAUCUGAAAGGACACCAAAGGCGAAGGCAGUCUCCUGGGCAAAUACUGACGCUCAUAUGCGAAAGCGUGGGUAGCAAACA